RNAcentral lists this ribosomal RNA (253 nucleotides) under uncultured bacterium. Its description in RNAcentral is "partial 16S ribosomal RNA". It matches the Rfam family "Bacterial small subunit ribosomal RNA", at positions 524 to 776 of the family's 1533-position model. The record is from RNAcentral.
UACGGGGGGGGCAAGCGUUGUUCGGAAUUACUGGGCGUAAAGGGCUCGUAGGCGGCCAACUCAGUCGGACGUGAAAUCCCUCGGCUUAACCGGGGAACGGCGUCCGAUACUGGAUGGCUUGAAUCCGAGAGAGGGAUGCGGAAUUCCCAGUGUAGCGGUGAAAUGCGUAGAUAUUGGGAAGAACACCUGAGGCGAAGGCGGGUUGCUGGGCUGAUACUGACGCUGAGGCGCGAAAGCCAGGGGAGCAAACGGG